GAUGAACGCUGGCGGCGUGCUUAACGCAUGCAAGUCGAACGGAAAGGCCCUAGCUUGCUGGGGUACUCGAGUGGCGAACGGGUGAGUAACACGUGGGUGAUCUGCCCUGCACUUUGGGAUAAGCUUGGGAAACUGGGUCUAAUACCGAAUAUGACCACUGCUUGGAUGUUGUGGUGGAAAGCUGUUGCGGUGUGGGAUGAGUCUGCGGCCUGUCAGCUUGUCGGUGGGGUAUUGGCCUACCAAGGCGGCGACGGGUAUCCUGCCUGAGAGGGUGUACCGACACGUUGGGACUGAGGUGCGGCCCAGACUCCUACGGGGGCAGCAGUGGGGAAUAUUGCACAAUGUGCGGAAGCCUGAUGCAGCGCCGCGGCGUGGGGGAUGAAGGCCUUCGGGUUGUAAACUCCUUUCGCUAUCGACGAAGCCACUUGUGGUGACGGUAGGUAGAUAAGAAGCACCGGCUAACUACGUGCCAGCCGCCGCCGUAA
Molecule: ribosomal RNA, 485 nt
Filed under: uncultured bacterium
Lineage: Bacteria
Description: partial 16S ribosomal RNA
Rfam family: Bacterial small subunit ribosomal RNA
Source: RNAcentral